This 72-nucleotide small nucleolar RNA is filed under the name Salvator merianae (Argentine black and white tegu). The record is from RNAcentral. Lineage: Eukaryota; Metazoa; Chordata; Lepidosauria; Squamata; Teiidae.
GCAACAUGAUGAAUAAAACCAAAUCACCAUCUUUCGACUGAACGCAUGAUGAUUUGUUUUACCUGAGAAGGC